RNAcentral lists this ribosomal RNA (556 nucleotides) under Shigella dysenteriae. RNAcentral describes it as "bacterial SSU rRNA". It matches the Rfam family "Bacterial small subunit ribosomal RNA", at positions 978 to 1533 of the family's 1533-position model. Lineage: Bacteria; Pseudomonadati; Pseudomonadota; Gammaproteobacteria; Enterobacterales; Enterobacteriaceae. The record is from RNAcentral.
GUCUUGACAUCCACAGAACCUUGUAGAGAUACGAGGGUGCCUUCGGGAACUGUGAGACAGGUGCUGCAUGGCUGUCGUCAGCUCGUGUUGUGAAAUGUUGGGUUAAGUCCCGCAACGAGCGCAACCCUUAUCCUUUGUUGCCAGCGGUCCGGCCGGGAACUCAAAGGAGACUGCCAGUGAUAAACUGGAGGAAGGUGGGGAUGACGUCAAGUCAUCAUGGCCCUUACGACCAGGGCUACACACGUGCUACAAUGGCGCAUACAAAGAGAAGCGACCUCGCGAGAGCAAGCGGACCUCAUAAAGUGCGUCGUAGUCCGGAUUGGAGUCUGCAACUCGACUCCAUGAAGUCGGAAUCGCUAGUAAUCGUGGAUCAGAAUGUCACGGUGAAUACGUUCCCGGGCCUUGUACACACCGCCCGUCACACCAUGGGAGUGGGUUGCAAAAGAAGUAGGUAGCUUAACCUUCGGGAGGGCGCUUACCACUUUGUGAUUCAUGACUGGGGUGAAGUCGUAACAAGGUAACCGUAGGGGAACCUGCGGUUGGAUCACCUCCUUAC